GGUCUAUUAGUCUAGUUGGUUAGGACGUCGGAUUCUGAUGCAAAAGCAUUUCCUUCCGUAAGCCCAGGUUCGAAUCCUGGAUGGACCU
This 88-nucleotide transfer RNA is filed under the name Colletotrichum orchidophilum. It matches the Rfam family "tRNA". From Rfam's summary of the family: Transfer RNA (tRNA) molecules are approximately 80 nucleotides in length. The record is from Rfam by way of RNAcentral. Lineage: Eukaryota; Fungi; Ascomycota; Sordariomycetes; Glomerellales; Glomerellaceae.